UUUCCAUUAACUUUUCCAUUAUAUUAUAACAUGUUAUGACCUCAAAAAGAAAUUACAAAAUGAUAUAGUGAGAUACAAACGAUCGAACUAUUAAAGUGACAAUAAUAAGACGAUGCAAGAAUCUGAUCCUAUACUACAGUAAAUAGAUAUUUGUCAGUGGUCAUAUUUUUUUUUAGCAUAAUAAUAAUAAAAAUGAUUAUGCAUACAUUGUGCUUGGGUAUACCUAGAUAUUCUAAGCAAGUCGAUCUUAAAUACAAAUACGUUCUGAAAAGGUACCAAAGAGAUAUCUAGCAACCUCCUCCUCCACCACCACCACCACCACCUCCACAACCUCUUCCGCCACCAUAAGCUCCUCUACCACCACAACCGCCUCCAACAAGAGACGCUCCAACAUUUUCUAAAUCAAGAACAUUGAUUAUGAUAGAUAUUUGGCUAGUGGUAUAUGCUCGUGGAGAAAGUAGUUUAGAAUUAUCUCAAAUGACGUAUUCUUAUAAUAAUCGAAGGAUGCUUGUAUACAUGCAAAUUGUCCGCAUUUAAUUUUCUAAACCAAAGCCAUUUAUGAUCAACGAGAUUUUCGUUUGUAUAUGCUGAAUCGCUGAUCGUAUAUGUAUCAGUCGCGUUUUCAUUCUACGUACAGUUCGUUAAUUUUUCUUUUCUUAUGCAAUUCCUAGGUUGAGGCCAGAAUUUCUGAAAUAUGUUUCACACCGGCAUCCAUCUCGUGUCAUUUUGACACAUUUCAUAUAGAUUAAGAAAUUAAUAAAUUAUAUAAAUAUACUCUUAAAUAAUAUAUUUCUAUAAGAUUUAGUUUCAAAAAUUAUUAUCUUUAAAUGAGGAAUAAAAUAGGAAAUAAGAGUAAAAACUUAUAUUAAAAAUGUGGAAUGUAGAAUGACAUUUUUUUGAAACAAAAUAAAAUUCAAAACGACAUUCUUUAUAAAAUAGAGGAAAUAGCUUCGAAGAACAUAACAACACAAUACUAUACUAUCAUAUUUACGAUUAUAAUCUCACAUGAUUGUAAUAAUAAAAAAGAAGAAGUUAUAACAUGACAUGAUAUAUAUUGAAGUUUUAAAUUAAGAUGUUUCUCCAGAAAUAUACAAAGUAUAGUAAUAAUAGUUCGAAUACGUUGGGAUUAGAAGUUAAGUCCUAAGUAGACACUCACCAAAGAUCAAGAUCGAUAUCUCACUAGCAACCUCCUCCACCACCACAUCCCCCUCCAUGGAAUCAGAUAUACAAAUUGAUUAAAAUACAGUGCCUAGCUAGUGAUAACAACACGUUUUCUAAUUUAGGUAACAACUGAUAGCAUUUGCAAAUUUUUGUAAAAAAAAAAGUUAAAUCCAUUUCUGAAUUGGAAAAAGGUUAAAAAUUGUCAAAAAAAGAAAGAAAAAAAGAUAGUUAUAAAAAAUAGCAUAACUGUAUAUGUAUUUCCACUCGUAGAUAAACUUAAUAUACAUUAGGAAGAAAAAUUAAGAAAAAAUCUAUAUAUACAUUGUUCACUCAAGCUUAAACUAUGGAAACUGAUCAAGAAUUUAAAAUCUCAGGAUUCUUUCUAGUAAUGAUAAAACUUAUUACAAAUAAGAAAGAUACAUGUAAUCCCACUUUUCCACUCUGAAACCAGACUUCCCCGUAUAGAGAUAAGGAAAUAAAUCAUUAAGAUAACAUUUACUAGAUUUUGUGUAAUCUAUUCUAGAUACUACUAUUAGGUUUAGACUUGACAUACUUGUAUAACUACCCUACCCUUAUGAAUCAAUAACACACAUACACUUUUCCAAUUCAUUAUAUGGUAUCAGAGAGCAUAAAGAUCUCUGACCUAAAUUCUUACGAUUGACAUCAGGCCAGCAAUCUGAAAUCUUGUAUAAACCAACAUAGACAUAAAUCUUAGAGCUAACACCAUUCUCAUACUUAAACCUGAUUUCAUACGUAGUUUCUCCUGCAGUGAAGAUUAUUUUUAUUUUUUUUUAUUUUUAUUUUUUUUCUUUCAGUGAAGAUUAUCUUUGUACAAGGAAAAUGGUGGUGAGCUU
RNAcentral lists this long non-coding RNA (2015 nucleotides) under Eutrema salsugineum. RNAcentral's name for it is "long non-coding RNA (ESAL_LNC001041)". The record is from RNAcentral. Lineage: Eukaryota; Viridiplantae; Streptophyta; Magnoliopsida; Brassicales; Brassicaceae.